AUUGAACGCUGGCGGCAGGCCUAACACAUGCAAGUCGAGCGGAUGAAGGGAGCUUGCUCCUGGAUUCAGCGGCGGACGGGUGAGUAAUGCCUAGGAAUCUGCCUGGUAGUGGGGGAUAACGUCCGGAAACGGGCGCUAAUACCGCAUACGUCCUGAGGGAGAAAGUGGGGGAUCUUCGGACCUCACGCUAUCAGAUGAGCCUAGGUCGGAUUAGCUAGUUGGUGGGGUAAAGGCCUACCAAGGCGACGAUCCGUAACUGGUCUGAGAGGAUGAUCAGUCACACUGGAACUGAGACAAGGUCCAGACUCAUACGGGAGGCAGCAGUGGGGAAUAUUGGACAAUGGGCGAAAGCCUGAUCCAGACAUGCCGCGUGUGUGAAGAAGGUCUUCGGAUUGUAAAGCACUUUAAGUUGGGAGGAAGGGCAGUAAGUUAAUACCUUGCUGUUUUGACGUUACCAACAGAAUAAGCACCGGCUAACUUCGUG
RNAcentral lists this ribosomal RNA (484 nucleotides) under uncultured bacterium. RNAcentral describes it as "partial 16S ribosomal RNA". It matches the Rfam family "Bacterial small subunit ribosomal RNA", at positions 30 to 507 of the family's 1533-position model. The record is from RNAcentral.